RNAcentral lists this ribosomal RNA (1220 nucleotides) under Zonitis sp. NLG-2012. Its description in RNAcentral is "partial 16S ribosomal RNA". Lineage: Eukaryota; Metazoa; Arthropoda; Insecta; Coleoptera; Meloidae. The record is from RNAcentral.
AUCUUUAAAAUUAAAAAAUUUGGCGGUAUUUUAGUCUAUUCAGAGGAACCUGUUUUUUAAUCGAUAAUCCACGAUAAGUUUUACUUUAAUUAUUAGCUUGUAUAUCGUCGUAGCUUGAAUAUUCUUGGAAUAAUAUUUUCAGAUCAAGGUGCAGUUUAUAUUAAAGUUAAAAUGGGUUACAUUAAAAAUCAAGGAUAAAUUGGAUUUGAAUGUAAGCUCUAAAAUAUGUACAUAUCGCCCGUCGCUUUCAUUUAAAAUGGAAUAAGUCGUAACAAAGUAGGCUUAUUGGAAAAUGAGCCUAGAAUGCAAAUUAGAGCUUGUUAAGUAUUUUAUUUACAUUAAAAUGGAAAUUGUGAAAAUCAAUUUAAUUUGAAUUUAAAAAUUUAAUAUUUAUUUUUGGUUUAAUUAUUUAAUUGAAAAAUCUUAUAUUUUAUUCUGUUAAGGAAAAAAUAUAUUUAUAGAUUAAAGUAUAGUGAUAGAAAAUUUAUGAAUUAAGAAAAGAAGAAUUAAUUUUUUGUACCUUGUGUGUCAGGGUUUACUAAUUUGGUUUUCCCGAAUUAUAAAGAGCUACUUUUAUUGUUUCAUAAAUAUUGAUAAUAUGCUAGUCGAAAUGAAACGUUAUUCGUUUUAUAAUAUAUCUGGUUUUCUAGGAAAUAAAUUUAAUCUAAUGAUUUUUCAAUGGGAUAAGCUUUAUACUAAAUUUUUAUAAUUUAUUAAAUUUUAAAGAUAGAGAGGAUUAGAAUUUUCCGUUCUUUAAGGAUGUUAUAAUUUAAAUGUUUAAUUUUUAUACUAGAAUAAAAUUUUUAAUUUUUAAUAUUUUGAAAUAAUGGUUAAAUUAGUAAGAUUAUAACAAGGAACUCGGCAAUAAUAUUUCUUACCUGUUUAAUAAAAACAUGUCUUUUUGAUUAUUAUUUAAGGUCUGGCCUGCUCAAUGAUUAAAUAGCUGCAGUAUCUUGACUGUACAAAGGUAGCAUAAUCAUUAGUUUCUUAAUUGGAAGCUGGAAUGAAUGGUUGAAUAAGGAAAUAACUGUCUCUUGAAUUUUAUUUUUAAGUUAAAAAGCUUAAAUUUUAUAGAAAGACGAGAAGACCCUAUAGAGUUUUUUUAUUGGGGUGAUAACAGAAUUUAAUAAACUUCUUUUUUUUAUGAAUAGAUGAUCCUAGAUUAAAAGAAUAAAUUACCUUAGGGAUAACAGCGUAAUUCUUUUGGAGAGUUCUUAUCA